RNAcentral lists this ribosomal RNA (253 nucleotides) under uncultured bacterium. RNAcentral describes it as "partial 16S ribosomal RNA". It matches the Rfam family "Bacterial small subunit ribosomal RNA", at positions 524 to 776 of the family's 1533-position model. The record is from RNAcentral.
UACGGAGGGUGCGAGCGUUAAUCGGAAUUACUGGGCGUAAAGAGUGCGUAGGUGGUUAUGUGUGUUAGAUGUGAAAUCCAUGGGCUUAACCUGUGAAUUGCAUUUAAAACUGCAUAGCUAGAGUGUUGUAGAGGGUGGCGGAAUUUCCAGUGUAGCGGUGAAAUGCGUAGAUAUUGGAAGGAACACCAGUGGCGAAGGCGGCCACCUGGACAAACACUGACACUGAGGCACGAAAGCGUGGGUAGCGAACAGG